Molecule: long non-coding RNA, 3618 nt
Organism: Saimiri boliviensis boliviensis (Bolivian squirrel monkey)
Lineage: Eukaryota; Metazoa; Chordata; Mammalia; Primates; Cebidae
Source: Ensembl
UGAGACCUCAUCUGUAUUACAAUAAAAAACAAAUUAAAAGACAGUGUUAAAGAAUAAAUAAAUAAUCCAGUGAUGGCUGUUACCAGUUUUCUCUAAGCCUAGGCCCAGCCAUGGCCGGUGGCCUCAGCCCUUGGAUAGAUACAGCUUAUUUAGGCAUUUAAACGCUGACACCUGUCUCCUGUUGUUUGAUUCCCUGCAGUCUGACAGAUUCACCAACUACCAAGAAGGCCCAGCUUCCUUGUGCUGUGUGUAAACGAGGCUUCCAUCAGCGUGGAUGCGCGCGCGCGCGCACACACACACACACACACACACACACACACACACACACAGGCUGCAAAGGGACCAGCCCUGCCCCCAAUUCCACACCCAUGGCCACAGUAAAGAAUGUUGCGUCCCCCUUCCCCGCCCCUCAGCCUCACACCCAGGUUCACACCUGGGCUAAUUUCACUUCUCACUUUUCAGGUUUGCAGAUGCCUCCCCAGCGGAAUCAAAAUGACAGAUUUAUGCCACACGGUGGGUUUGGAUCAGAAUGCACCCACUUGAGCAACACUUAGAUUCCCUCUUUCUCCCUGUCCUCAGCUACUUCUUGGAAGGGCAGAUGGAGAGCUAAAGAUUGUUUUUUUUUUCCUUGGGAAAUUGGCAGAGGUACGCUGAAGAAAUCAGCUACAGCUGUUCUCCACACCUGGAUAAAUUUUUAAUCAGAGCUUAACGCACCCUCCCUCCAGAACGGGUGGUCUGUGGUGCCGAUGGUGUUGUCUAUCCCGGGGCAGCUUUCUCUGGGACCUGGAGAGCGAAGAGUUUAUUUCCGUCACAUUUCAGCUGCCAAACUCUCCUUUAAAUCUAUUUGCUGCUUUGCCCUCCUUGGUUUGUGGAGCCCUGCAGAAAUCCAUUAUUUGCCUUUCCAGCUUCUCCGGUUGGAACUGAGGUUUCCAAAGGGUAAAAUGCAUUUUGGCGGAGGCAGAGCCCGGAAUCCUCGUUGUUUGCUGUUGGUGCCAUCCAAUUCACUGGUUCUGAAUAGGGGAAUUAAGUUAAUAGACAGGCAGAUAUGCUUCAUGAUUCUUGUAUUUCAAGAAAAAAAAAAAAAAAAAAAAAAAAAGGUGCUCUACAGGCUGUCUUUUUUCUCCCAGCAGGUUCUGAUUGAUUUGUUUGAGUUUUGAGCUGCAGUCAGGGACGGAGAAUCUAACUGAUCUACAUGCUACCAAAUAUUUAUGACUUGUGCAUAGAAUAUUGACUCAUCUCUAAUUUGCAGUCUUCUUGAUGAAAAGGGAAGGGAUAGGGAUAGUAGGGGCUCAUUAUUGUGUCUCUUCGGUGCAUUAGAGAGAUUAGAUGCCUGAGAUGUCCCAAAGCCUGUAUCGAGUCAGGUGACUUGAUCCUCAUUCCCAUGCAAUGCACACCUUACGAGGCCUCUCUUUCCAACUGUGACACUUGAAAUGUGUGUGCUCAUCUUCAUCGUGACUAUGUAGCCAACUCUUGGUGUUUUGCAAUGAAAAAUGGAAAAUUUAAGCCAGAUGAUUAACAAAAAGUAACAUCACAUGCCUCUGGGUAUAAUGAAAGGCAUCUGUUUUCACACAGAAUCUCCCUCUCUCUUACACAUACACUCCCCACUCUUAAAUGUUUGGAUUUUUUACUUUCCUCUGCAUCUGUUUUUAAUGCUUCUCAGCUGGCACCAUACUGUCGAUGACCAGGGGACCCACAGGGACAGCUAGUGACGUGCCGAGUUGACCAUUGGCUUGUGAAUGUGACAUGCAGGAAAUACUUUCAAGUUCCUGUCUGCUGUGGGUGCUGCCCAAAGUCAAUAUCGCAGAAACCUUCCUUGUAUGAGAGCCUCCAUCUAAAAGUGAAUGACAUCAAUAGGAAAGCUAGAACAGAAUGUAGCAUUUUCUGAGUAGGUAACAGAAUCCAUAAAGUGCAAGUGUAAAAGAAAAAUAAAAACGUGGGACCCCAAUUCACUCUGCCACAAGAAAAAAAAUUCAGCUGAAAGCGGAGUCAUGCAAGAAGGUACCUUUUGUUCCUAAGACAGCUACAGAUAAAAUAUUCAAUAUCCCUGCAGAUAGUUACCGUAUGUUCACCUUACAGUGCGCGGGGUGAAUACGUAAUUGGCUGUUCCCUUGCUUGCUCCUUUUCUCUUGCAACCUGUGCAUUCAGUCAUGUGACCACACCCUUCCUCUUUCCCCGCCAGCCUACUUUUCCCCUUUGAAGCUCUCAAAAUCAUCUUUGGAGAAAGGCGCAGACUACAGACUGUUUCUGGGGUUUCAUGUUUAUUUCUUCUGGGCGCGUCCCUAACCUUGGCAAAAUAAACUUCGAAACUGAUGGAGACCCGUCUCAGAUACUUUUUGGUUCACACAAGGAAAGAAACCGAUCUCAGGUCCUAGUCCCUCUGGAGAGCUUUAGAAGGCCUGUGGCUGCCAUGAAUCGCCCAGGUCUUAUAGGGAGGGCACAGAUGGAAAUCCAUCUUGGAGCUCUCAGGACUGCACCAGGCUCCGGAGCAGAUGACUGAAGUCCCUUUAGUUGUACUCAGGCAUUUUUUGUGAAAGAAGAAGGUGAGAGGGGAGAGCCAGGUUAGUUUGGGAAAUUUUGCAUUACACAAAAUUAAUCAGGUUUCUUUAGUCAUUAGUAUGCAGAUUGUAUUGUGAAUCUGUAAGAGGCAGAAGGAAUAGGAAGCUUUCCCCAAACUUUUUUGUCCUGAGAAUCUCUUUUUUCCUGGGGAUCUCUAACAUUUCAAAGGGCCCUGUGAUCCACAGAGCUGCCUGGAGAAAGCCACCUGGAGAUGUCAAGGAAGCUCCAGCUGCCAGUUCCCAGCUCCGUGGAGAUUCAUCUCCCAGUUUAAUGGGGACACAGCCACAGGCUUCAAAUUUGGGUACCCCCAUCUUCAGGGGUACAUGAGGACUUUCUGAGGCUACACAGGUACAUGGUUUUUGUUCUUUUUAAAUUCUAGGUCUAUGAUUUCCAUGCAUUCUUUCCUGUAAUUGCUAUGGUGAGAACUGAAUGACCGUGAGCCAUUGCUGCUGAAUGGAGCGUCUUCAUUCUGUCUCCUCUUUCAUAACAGCCGCUUCAGACAUCCUUCACUCUCUCCCAUCUUACUAGGGUGCAUUGCCCCAGGGGGGCAGAUACCUGGGAUGCCAGACAAAUUGCUGGAUUGGUGGCUUCUUUUUAGAAAAUGAAUGAUUCUAUUGACUAAGUAAUAAAUCUUUCUGCAGAUCAGAUGAUUUCUAAUUCUUUGCUUUCAUGAAAAUUGAGAGAAGAUCUAAUUGAGUUGUCAGAAAAUUAGAUCAUUAAAUAUUUUUGGUGAUAGAUCACUGUAUCAGAAGGAGCAUGAGUAAUUGAUAUUGCUAGGAUCAAACUGCUUCCAUUCUUGUCUUCUUCUUCUUCUCUUUCUUUCUUUUCUUUUUUUUUUGAGAUGGAGUUUUGCUCUUGUUGCUGAGGCUGGAGUGCAAUGGCCUGAUCUCAGCCUCCACCUCCCAGGUCAAGCUAUUCUCUUGCCUCAGACUUCCAACUAGCUGGGAUUACAGGCAUGCACCACCACACCUGGCUAGUUUUUUUGUAUUUUUAGUAGCAGCACAAUUUCACCAUGUUGGCCAGGCUGGUCUCAAACUCCUGACCUCAAAUUAUCCAUCCUCC